Molecule: ribosomal RNA, 511 nt
Filed under: Arthroderma sp. SSR-2012a
Lineage: Eukaryota; Fungi; Ascomycota; Eurotiomycetes; Onygenales; Arthrodermataceae
Description: eukaryotic LSU rRNA
Rfam family: Eukaryotic large subunit ribosomal RNA
Source: RNAcentral
GGCGAGUGAAGCGGCAAAAGCAUCAAAUUUGAAAUCUGGCUCCUUUAGGGGUCCGAGUUGUAAUUUGCAGAGGAUGCUUCGGGAGCGGCCACGGCUUAAGUGCCUUGGAACAGGACGUCAUAGAGGGUGAGAAUCCCGUCUUGAGUCGUUGGUCCGCGCCCAUGUGAAGCUCCUUCGACGAGUCGAGUUGUUUGGGAAUGCAGCUCUAAGCGGGUGGUAAAUUUCAUCUAAAGCUAAAUAUUGGCCGGAGACCGAUAGCGCACAAGUAGAGUGAUCGAAAGGUUAAAAGCACCUUGAAAAGGGAGUUAAACAGCACGUGAAAUUGUUGAAAGGGAAGCGCUUGCGGCCAGACUCGGGUACAGGGUUCAGCGGGUGCGUGUCACCCGUGUACUCCCUGUUUCCCGGGCCAGCAUCAGUUCUGACGGCCGGUCAAAGGCCUCUGGAAUGUGUCGUCUUUCGGGACGUCUUAUAGCCAGAGGUGCAAUGCGGCCUGUUGGGACUGAGGAACGCG